CACAAGUUGGAAGUAAAGGACCUUAAGGAUCUCUCAGUAAGGGAUGACCUCAAACAAGGAUGAUGAGGAGAUGAAGCAAGUGACACUGGCUACAGCACCAAAACCUUUAGGUUGUAUCUGAGAUCUUCAGACAAUGCAUAAAACGGAAGAAAACUCAGACAUGCAUAUCAGAAGUGACACAAAAUUGUACAAAAGGAUAGAUAUGAGAUUCAGGAGCACCAGAGCACUUCACAGAAUAUGCAACCUGGAGGAAAACCUGCUAGCAUUUUGAAUAGGUUUGAAAGUUUAUUGAGUUUGAAAUUGAUCUUUACAAUUCAUUUUGCCUGUAAAUUUGUCCAUGACACUUCAUGAUAAAAAUUAAAUAUUACAUUGAAAAUAUCAUUCAAGAAUAACUAUUUUCUUGUUGCUAGAUGUUUUUUAGUUGUUGCAACGGUAUUAUGAUCAUAGUAGAUGGAG
This 456-nucleotide long non-coding RNA is filed under the name Anas platyrhynchos platyrhynchos (common mallard). Its description in RNAcentral is "lncRNA (ENSAPLG00000026494.1)". The record is from RNAcentral. Lineage: Eukaryota; Metazoa; Chordata; Aves; Anseriformes; Anatidae.